This 62-nucleotide transfer RNA is filed under the name Paraphysomonas imperforata. It matches the Rfam family "tRNA", at positions 6 to 65 of the family's 71-position model. Rfam says of the family: Transfer RNA (tRNA) molecules are approximately 80 nucleotides in length. Their secondary structure includes four short double-helical elements and three loops (D, anti-codon, and T loops). Lineage: Eukaryota; Chrysophyceae; Chromulinales; Paraphysomonadaceae. The record is from RNAcentral.
GAGUAGCUCAGGGGUAGAGUAUUGGAUUGAAAAUCCAUCUGUCAGUGGUUCAAAUCCACUCU